UUGAUCAAUCUCUACUUUUUAUGAAGUUUCUAACCUUCUGGGUCUGUUCAAUUCACGAUUUCUGGUGGACACUGUCUUCUUCGAAGCAGGGGAUACCAUUUUCUUUUAGACCCAGUUUGGAUUAGUCGAAACUUCUUUUGUUCGUCGAUGAUCGAAACUGCGUCGUUUGAUCGUUCAAUUUCUCUGUAGAGGAACGGAAACGAAUAUCCCAGAGACGGAUUCAAAAAGCUUGUCAUCACUACCAUCCUUGUUCCUUUCUUGGAAGGCUGAGUUUUUCUCUGCUGCUGGCAACAUGGGGUGCUAUGCUAGCAAGAAUGCAGAUUCAAAGGCCAGCAGAGUGGCUCGAUGGCGAGCUACUGGUAUCGUGGCUUUGCGAGAUUCAAAGUUGAAGACAUUUCCCGAUGAAGUUCUUGACAUGGACAGAUCUGUCCGCACGCUUGAUUUAACAAACAAUAGAAUAGUUGAUAUCCCUAUGGAAGUCUGCAAAUUAAUAAACAUGCAGCGUCUGGUUUUGGCAGAUAACCUUAUUGAGCGUCUACCAAUGAAUUUGGGGAAGCUCCAAUCUCUAAAAGUUAUGAUACUUGAUGGAAAUCACAUUACGACAUUACCUGAUGAAUUGGGUCAACUAGUAAGGCUCGAACGUCUAUCUAUCUCCCG
Molecule: unclassified non-coding RNA, 657 nt
Filed under: Hevea brasiliensis (rubber tree)
Lineage: Eukaryota; Viridiplantae; Streptophyta; Magnoliopsida; Malpighiales; Euphorbiaceae
Source: RNAcentral